This 331-nucleotide long non-coding RNA is filed under the name Nicotiana benthamiana. RNAcentral describes it as "long non-coding RNA (NBEN_LNC017589)". Lineage: Eukaryota; Viridiplantae; Streptophyta; Magnoliopsida; Solanales; Solanaceae. The record is from RNAcentral.
AAGCUUAAUAGAGUGACCAAGCUAAGACCUUAGACGAAGAGAGUGUCCAACCAAUCACGACAAGCAGCCCUGCACUAAGCAAGUCGUAGUCCCAGCUUUUUUUCUCCUUCGAUAGAGUUGGAUUGGAAGAGUCAGCCUGCGGGGUAAGCCUUUUCACGUGUGCGCAUUAUUGUUGAUUUCUCUCUUUUUUCUGGAGUAAGAAAUCCAAUAGGGAUUCAAAAUCUACCAUAACAUAAGGAGAGGAGGUAGAGCAAUAGCUUGGGUUGACCCUCUUAAUGAAGAUCGAUCUGGCAGAGGAGAAGUAGAUCCAUUCAAGUCCAAAGCAAGGUGG